UCACAUCAAGGAUGAACUUGUCACCAAUAGCCCACUACACAUUCCAAUAGUGCCAGGGGCGUAGACUGGGCCUCACUGAUCUUUCUCUUACAUUACAUAACAUAACAUUCCAAUAUGCCAGGGGCGUAGAAUGGGCCUCACUGGUCUUCCAUACCAUACCAUAUCAUAUCAUAUCAUAGUGCGGGCUAAAGGAUCAUCCAACAUUCAUCCACAUCAACAACAUGAUAUGCAAUGCAACAUAUUCGUGAGUUCUAAUGCAAGCACCCUAGUAUAUCUCAUGGCAUUCAUGAUGCGUGAAUCAUGUUAAGAACUGAUUUAUUUACUUAAAAGCAUAAAGAGUUAUUCCACUCACCUUAGGCUAGCUCUGACAAGACACUGAAGCAGCUAACUCACUGCUGGGGUCCUCGGUUCCUCGGGUCCGAACCUACACAGGUGGACUCAAAUGAGGGACCAAACAUCCAUAAACAUG
Molecule: long non-coding RNA, 469 nt
Filed under: Manihot esculenta (cassava)
Lineage: Eukaryota; Viridiplantae; Streptophyta; Magnoliopsida; Malpighiales; Euphorbiaceae
Description: long non-coding RNA (MESC_LNC004486)
Source: RNAcentral